CUCGUAGGUGGCCAACUAAGUCAGACGUGAAAUCCCUCAGCUUAACUGGGGAACUGCGUCUGAUACUGGAUGGCUUGAGUUUGGGAGAGGGAUGCGGAAUUCCAGGUGUAGCGGUGAAAUGCGUAGAUAUCUGGAGGAACACCGGUGGCGAAGGCGGCAUCCUGGACCAAUACUGACACUGAGGAGCGAAAGCCGAGGGGAACGACGAAC
RNAcentral lists this ribosomal RNA (210 nucleotides) under uncultured bacterium. Its description in RNAcentral is "partial 16S ribosomal RNA". It matches the Rfam family "Bacterial small subunit ribosomal RNA", at positions 568 to 776 of the family's 1533-position model. The record is from RNAcentral.